RNAcentral lists this ribosomal RNA (252 nucleotides) under uncultured bacterium. RNAcentral's name for it is "partial 16S ribosomal RNA". It matches the Rfam family "Bacterial small subunit ribosomal RNA", at positions 524 to 776 of the family's 1533-position model. The record is from RNAcentral.
GACAGAGGGUGCAAACGUUGUUCGGAAUUACUGGGCGUAAGCGCGUGUAGGCUGCUUGGCAAGUCGGAUGUGAAAGCCCUGGGCUCAACCCAGGAAGUGCAUUCGAAACUGCCGAGCUGGAGUCCUGGAGAGGAAGGCGGAAUUCUCGGUGUAGAGGUGAAAUUCGUAGAUAUCGAGAGGAACACCGGUGGCGAAGGCGGCCUUCUGGACAGUGACUGACGCUGAGACGCGAAAGCGUGGGGAGCAAACAGG